This 386-nucleotide ribosomal RNA is filed under the name Salmonella enterica subsp. enterica serovar Senftenberg. RNAcentral's name for it is "bacterial SSU rRNA". It matches the Rfam family "Bacterial small subunit ribosomal RNA", at positions 869 to 1255 of the family's 1533-position model. The record is from RNAcentral. RNAcentral also lists the same sequence under 1 other name. Lineage: Bacteria; Pseudomonadati; Pseudomonadota; Gammaproteobacteria; Enterobacterales; Enterobacteriaceae.
CCGCCUGGGGAGUACGGCCGCAAGGUUAAAACUCAAAUGAAUUGACGGGGGCCCGCACAAGCGGUGGAGCAUGUGGUUUAAUUCGAUGCAACGCGAAGAACCUUACCUGGUCUUGACAUCCACGGAAGAAUUCAGAGAUGGAUUUGUGCCUUCGGGAACCGUGAGACAGGUGCUGCAUGGCUGUCGUCAGCUCGUGUUGUGAAAUGUUGGGUUAAGUCCCGCAACGAGCGCAACCCUUAUCCUUUGUUGCCAGCGGUCCGGCCGGGAACUCAAAGGAGACUGCCAGUGAUAAACUGGAGGAAGGUGGGGAUGACGUCAAGUCAUCAUGGCCCUUACGACCAGGGCUACACACGUGCUACAAUGGCGCAUACAAAGAGAAGCGACCU